GACGCUGGCGGCGUGCCUAACACAUGCAAGUCGAGCGGAGUUAUCCGAGCGGAAGUUUUCGGAUGGAAGCAUGGAUAACUUAGCGGCGGACGGGUGAGUAACGCGUGGGCAAUCUGCCUUUUACAGGGGGAUAACACAGGGAAACCUGUGCUAAUACCCCCAUAUGCGCGUAGCUGAGAUGCUAUUCGUGAAAACUCCGGUGCUCUAGGAUGAGUCUGCAUCUGAUUAGCUAGUUGGGGGUGUAAUGGACCACCAAGGCGACGAUCAGUAGCNGGUUUGAGAGGAUGAUCAGCCACAAUGGGACUGAGACACGGCCCCAUACUCCUACGGGAGGCAGCAGUAGGGAAUUUUGCGCAAUGGGCGAAAGCCUGACGCAGCAACGCCGCGUGAUUGAAGAAGCCCUUCGGGGUGUAAAGAUCUGUCAGUGGGGACGAAACUUGACGGUACCCACAGAGGAAGCAUCGGCUAACUCCGUG
This 476-nucleotide ribosomal RNA is filed under the name uncultured bacterium. RNAcentral describes it as "bacterial SSU rRNA". It matches the Rfam family "Bacterial small subunit ribosomal RNA", at positions 33 to 507 of the family's 1533-position model. The record is from RNAcentral.